UACGGAGGGGGCUAGCGUUGUUCGGAAUUACUGGGCGUAAAGCGCGCGUAGGCGGACCUGCAAGUCGGGGGUGAAAGCCCGAGGCUCAACCUCGGAACUGCCUUCGAUACUGCGGGUCUCGAGUCCGGGAGAGGUGAGUGGAAUUCCUAGUGUAGAGGUGAAAUUCGUAGAUAUUAGGAAGAACACCAGUGGCGAAGGCGGCUUCCUGGACCGGUUCUGACACUGAGGAGCGAAAGCGUGGGGAGCGAUCCGG
This 253-nucleotide ribosomal RNA is filed under the name uncultured bacterium. RNAcentral describes it as "partial 16S ribosomal RNA". It matches the Rfam family "Bacterial small subunit ribosomal RNA", at positions 524 to 776 of the family's 1533-position model. The record is from RNAcentral.